GGAUGUGAGGGCGAUCUGGCUGCGACAUCUGUCACCCCAUUGAUCGCCAGGGUUGAUUCGGCUGAUCUGGCUGGCUAGGCGGGUGUCCCCUUCCUCCCUCACCGCUCCAUGUGCGUCCCUCCCGAAGCUGCGCGCUCGGUCGAAGAGGACGACCAUCCCCGAUAGAGGGGGACCGUUCUUCGGUCAAGGGUAUACGAGUAGCUGCGCUCCCCUGCUAGAACCUCCAAACAAGCUCUCAAGGUCCAUUGUAGGAGAACGUAGGGUAGUCAAGCUUCCAAGACUCCAGACACAUCCAAAUGAGGUGCUGCAUGUGGCAGUCUGCCUUUCUAA
This 330-nucleotide small nuclear RNA is filed under the name Tupaia belangeri (northern tree shrew). Its description in RNAcentral is "7SK RNA (ENSTBEG00000018615.1)". It matches the Rfam family "7SK RNA". From Rfam's summary of the family: 7SK was discovered as an abundant small nuclear RNA in the mid-70s but a possible function has only recently been suggested. Two independent studies have found that 7SK RNA binds the CDK9/cyclin T complex (known as elongation factor P-TEFb). Lineage: Eukaryota; Metazoa; Chordata; Mammalia; Scandentia; Tupaiidae. The record is from RNAcentral.